ACGCUCGACACCUACGGGAGGCAGCAGUGGGGAAUAUUGCACAAUGGAGGAAACUCUGAUGCAGCGAUGCCGCGUGAGGGAAGAAGGUUUUCGGAUUGUAAACCUCUGUCUUUGGGGACGAUAAUGACGGUACCCAAGGAGGAAGCUCCGGCUAACUACGUACCAGCAGCCGCGGUAAUCUGAGGCGGGCUGGCAAGGC
Molecule: ribosomal RNA, 199 nt
Filed under: uncultured bacterium
Lineage: Bacteria
Description: partial 16S ribosomal RNA
Rfam family: Bacterial small subunit ribosomal RNA
Source: RNAcentral